AAACAAGCCGUAUGCACUGUGUGGAUUUUUAAGAGGAAUGGGUGAAAGUGACGAUGCUUUGAAUCGCUUGUGUCUCAAAGAUGGAAUAUGUAAAGGGCUAGAUUAAGCGGACAGAUGUUUAUAUCUAUGAAGUGUUUAUUCAUCUGUGACUCGUUUUCAUUUCAAAAUAAAUUGUUGCAAUUUAUUAUAAUUGUAA
Amphimedon queenslandica is the source of this 196-nucleotide long non-coding RNA. RefSeq lists it as uncharacterized. The record is from RefSeq and is a predicted model, not a curated record. Lineage: Eukaryota; Metazoa; Porifera; Demospongiae; Haplosclerida; Niphatidae. The transcript has 3 exons.